GAUGAACGCUGGCGGCGUGCUUAACACAUGCAAGUCGAACGGUGAAGGCGGAGCUUGCUCUGCUGGAUCAGUGGCGAACGGGUGAGUAACACGUGAGCAAUCUGCCCCUGACUCUGGGAUAAGCGCUGGAAACGGCGUCUAAUACUGGAUACGAGCUUCCACCGCAUGGUGAGUUGUUGGAAAGAUUUUUCGGUCAGGGAUGAGCUCGCGGCCUAUCAGCUUGUUGGUGAGGUAAUGGCUCACCAAGGCGUCGACGGGUAGCCGGCCUGAGAGGGUGACCGGCCACACUGGGACUGAGACACGGCCCAGACUCCUACGGGAGGCAGCAGUGGGGAAUAUUGCACAAUGGGCGCAAGCCUGAUGCAGCAACGCCGCGUGAGGGACGACGGCCUCGGUUGUAACGUACUUUAGUCAGGAAGAAGACGAAAGUAGACGGUACCGUGCAGAAAAGACGCCGGACGUAACUAACGUGCACGCAGCGCGGUAAA
Molecule: ribosomal RNA, 488 nt
Filed under: uncultured bacterium
Lineage: Bacteria
Description: bacterial SSU rRNA
Rfam family: Bacterial small subunit ribosomal RNA
Source: RNAcentral